CGCGUGGGAACCUGCCCUUUGCUACGGAACAACCACGGGAAACUGUGGCUAAUACCGUAUAAUGCACUUCGGUGCCAAAGAUUUAUCGGCGAAGGAGGGGCCCGCGUUGGAUUAGCUUGUUGGUGGGGUAACGGCCUACCAAGGCUCUGAUCCAUAGCUGGUCUGAGAGGACGAUCAGCCACACUGGGACUGAGACACGGCCCAGACUCCUACGGGAGGCAGCAGUGGGGAAUCUUGGACAAUGGGGGCAACCCUGAUCCAGCGACGCCGCGUGGGUGAAGAAGGCCUUAGGGUUGUAAA
This 300-nucleotide ribosomal RNA is filed under the name uncultured Rhodospirillales bacterium. Its description in RNAcentral is "bacterial SSU rRNA". It matches the Rfam family "Bacterial small subunit ribosomal RNA", at positions 114 to 429 of the family's 1533-position model. Lineage: Bacteria; Pseudomonadati; Pseudomonadota; Alphaproteobacteria; Rhodospirillales. The record is from RNAcentral.